Molecule: ribosomal RNA, 253 nt
Filed under: uncultured bacterium
Lineage: Bacteria
Description: partial 16S ribosomal RNA
Rfam family: Bacterial small subunit ribosomal RNA
Source: RNAcentral
UACAGAGGUCCCAAGCGUUGUUCGGAUUCACUGGGCGUAAAGGGUGCGUAGGCGGUCGGGUAAGUCUGAUGUGAAAUCUCACAGCUUAACUGUGAAACUGCAUUGGAUACUAUCCGGCUAGAGGAAUGGAGGGGAGACUGGAAUACUUGGUGUAGCAGUGAAAUGCGUAGAUAUCAAGUGGAACACCAGUGGCGGAGGCGAGUCUCUGGACAUUUCCUGGCGCUGAGGCACGAAAGCCAGGGGAGCAAACGGG